Molecule: long non-coding RNA, 286 nt
Filed under: Mytilus galloprovincialis (Mediterranean mussel)
Lineage: Eukaryota; Metazoa; Mollusca; Bivalvia; Mytilida; Mytilidae
Source: RNAcentral
UGCCUGUCCCAAGUCAGGAGCCUCUAAUUUAGUGGUUGUCGUUUGUUUAUGUGUUACAUGUUUGUUUUUCGUUCAUUUUUUACAUAAAUAAGGCCGUUAGUUUUCUCGUUUGAAUUGUUUUACAUUGUCUUAUCGGGGCCUUUUAUAGCUCACUAUGCGGUAUGGGCUUUGCUCAUUGUUGAAGGCCGUACGGUGACCUAUAGCUGUUAAUGUCUGUGUCAUUUUGGUCUUUUGUGGAUAGUUGUCUCAUUGGCAAUCAUACCACAUCUUCUUUUUUAUAUACUGU